This 505-nucleotide ribosomal RNA is filed under the name Rhizobium esperanzae. RNAcentral's name for it is "bacterial LSU rRNA". It matches the Rfam family "Bacterial large subunit ribosomal RNA", at positions 1 to 426 of the family's 2925-position model. Lineage: Bacteria; Pseudomonadati; Pseudomonadota; Alphaproteobacteria; Hyphomicrobiales; Rhizobiaceae. The record is from RNAcentral.
GAUUAAGUGUCGUAAGGGCAUUUGGUGGAUGCCUUGGCAUGCACAGGCGAUGAAGGACGUGAUACGCUGCGAAAAGCCGUGGGGAGCUGCGAAUGAGCUUUGAUCCAUGGAUCUCCGAAUGGGGCAACCCACCUUAAAUACCUAGAAAAUCUGUUUUGUUGCUUUGGUUGCGAGGGACUUCCUUCGUAGCGCAAGGCGCGUCGCCGGUCGUCCGGCGCGCCGUCCGCAGGCCUUUGGCCGUGAGGACAAAACAGGUUUCUAGGUAUUGUGAUAAGGUAUCUGCACCUGAAUACAUAGGGUGUAAGAAGCGAACGCAGGGAACUGAAACAUCUAAGUACCUGCAGGAAAGGACAUCAACCGAGACUCCGCAAGUAGUGGCGAGCGAACGCGGACCAGGCCAGUGGCAAUUGUGAUUAAAGUGGAACGCUCUGGAAAGUGCGGCCGUAGUGGGUGACAGCCCCGUACGCGUAGAUAUCACGAUUGUCCUAGAGUAGGGCGGGACACG